RNAcentral lists this transfer RNA (30 nucleotides) under Parantechinus apicalis (southern dibbler). RNAcentral describes it as "partial tRNA-Phe". Lineage: Eukaryota; Metazoa; Chordata; Mammalia; Dasyuromorphia; Dasyuridae. The record is from RNAcentral.
UUAGAUGGACUUUAACCAGUUCCACAAGCA